Molecule: ribosomal RNA, 253 nt
Filed under: uncultured bacterium
Lineage: Bacteria
Description: partial 16S ribosomal RNA
Rfam family: Bacterial small subunit ribosomal RNA
Source: RNAcentral
CACGUAGGGCGCAAGCGUUGUCCGGAAUUAUUGGGCGUAAAGAGCUCGUAGGCGGUCUGUUACGUCUGCUGUGAAAACCCUGGGCUUAACCCUGGGCUUGCAGUGGAUACGGGCAGACUAGAGGCAGGUAGGGGAGAAUGGAAUUCCCGGUGUAGCGGUGAAAUGCGCAGAUAUCGGGAGGAACACCGGUGGCGAAGGCGGUUCUCUGGACAGUUCCUGACGCUGAGGCACGAAGGCCAGGGGAGCAAACGGG